UGGCUGGUAGCAUAACGGUGAAUGCAAUUGCCUUAUACGCAGUGGAUUACCGGUUCAAAUCCGGUCCAGCCAA
This 73-nucleotide transfer RNA is filed under the name Chitinophaga nivalis. RNAcentral describes it as "tRNA-Ile". It matches the Rfam family "tRNA". Rfam says of the family: Transfer RNA (tRNA) molecules are approximately 80 nucleotides in length. Their secondary structure includes four short double-helical elements and three loops (D, anti-codon, and T loops). Lineage: Bacteria; Pseudomonadati; Bacteroidota; Chitinophagia; Chitinophagales; Chitinophagaceae. The record is from RNAcentral.